AACGCGAAGAACCUUACCAAGGCUUGACAUAUACCGGAAACGGCCAGAGAUGGUCGCCCCCUUGUGGUCGGUAUACAGGUGGUGCAUGGUUGUCGUCAGCUCGUGUCGUGAGAUGUUGGGUUAAGUCCCGCAACGAGCGCAACCCUCGUUAUGUGUUGCCAGUGAGUAAUGUCGGGGACUCACAGGAGACUGCCGGGGUCAACUCGGAGGAAGGUGGGGAGGACGUCAAAUCAUCAUGCCCCUUAUGUCUUGGGCUGCACACGUGCUACAAUGGCCGGUACAAUGAGCUGCGAUACCGCGAGGUGGAGCGAAUCUCAAAAAGCCGGUCUCAGUUCGGAUUGGGGUCUGCAACUCGACCCCAUGAAGUCGGAGUUGCUAGUAAUCGCAGAUCAGCAUUGCUGCGGUGAAUACGUUCCCGGGCCUUGUACACACC
This 433-nucleotide ribosomal RNA is filed under the name Streptacidiphilus sp. RNAcentral's name for it is "bacterial SSU rRNA". It matches the Rfam family "Bacterial small subunit ribosomal RNA", at positions 958 to 1391 of the family's 1533-position model. Lineage: Bacteria; Bacillati; Actinomycetota; Actinomycetes; Kitasatosporales; Streptomycetaceae. The record is from RNAcentral.